RNAcentral lists this long non-coding RNA (3606 nucleotides) under Triticum aestivum (bread wheat). RNAcentral describes it as "long non-coding RNA (TAES_LNC027388)". The record is from RNAcentral. Lineage: Eukaryota; Viridiplantae; Streptophyta; Magnoliopsida; Poales; Poaceae.
CCAUAUAUAGCUCAGUUAGUUGGCAUGUACUGUCGUACUUGGCAUGUUAAUAUUUAGUAGAUCCAUCCAUUAUAUUGGUAUAUCCUCCAACUGCAGUACGUGCAAUAAGGAAUGAUCAAAAGAGUGAAUGAAUCACGUACAUACUAUUCGUCCAACUGGAAUUGGAACCCAGUGUGCUGUCUCGGCAACAUCGCAUUGUUCCAACUUCCAAGGGAACCCAUCAGCCUCCCAUACGUUGUCACAAAGGAACCCCGUCUCCAUUUGCUCCAUGCCUUCUUUGCUAGCGCCAUCAUCAAAGCCUCAUCGACCCUCGGCAAGUGCACAUGCUACAACCAUGGCCGACACCGCCAGCACUGCUGCACUCGCAUAGAACCUGACCUCGGGCGUUGCUGUAGAGGAAUCAUCCGUUCAUUCUUCUAGCAGUUGUCCCAAGCUGUAGCUAGCUGUGUAUAGAGAUUAAAAGGUUAGAAGAAAUAACGUGAAUGUAAUCUUAACCAAGUAAACAGUCACGUUAAUACUUAUCUAACACCGCCAAGGAUAACUUCACUAAAAAGCAAUCUUUGCAGUGCAACUUGCAAAGACAACUAUCAUCUGUUUUGUUAUAUGGGUUAUAUCACUCAUGUUCAUUUUUGGCAAGAUUCAAAUAUCAGAAAAUAGCUUCAUUCAAAAUUACAGUUCUGAAGAAUUUCCAUGUUAUACAGAUAAUUACUAAUCUCAUAGAUACUCUGUUGCAUUAGCAAAACACAAGUGCACAUUUACUGCCUUCUAGGAUUACAACCGGAGAUUGACACAUUAAAUAAAAUACUUAAAAACGGAUAAUCUCUACAAAAUGCGCACUUCGGCAAGAUGUUACAAAAUGCCUGUCGUUAUAACAAAAGCGAAUGAAGCGGAUAAUUCUACUGAUGAAUUACAAAAUUCCUGCAAUUUGAUGCUCACUUCAACAACAAAUACUUAAAAGCGGAUAAUUAACUAAAAGGUGAAGCAGAAGCAUGAACUGCUAACCGUUACUUGAUGACCUAUCUACACAAUUGAGAGAGUCUGUAUGUAGUAUUAUGCCUAUCAAUAUCACAAAGAUGGAUGUGUACUUUCCUUGCUCCUAGACCAUGAACUAAAUUGUCAUAAUUUUCUUGUCUUCCUCCCUUCGUCCUGCAUGGAACCAAGCAUUACUCAUACUCCAUUUUUACACAACUGAAAUAAAUAAUCAGAUAAAAGUCUGAACAACUUCCCACAAAAUAAAAGGGCAUAUCUAAUGAAACACGUUCAGUCAAAAAAAUGUUCUCACUGGAGAGCACAUCAAUGUAAAAUGAAAAGUAUCAAUCAAGUUCUAAGUUGUACACCGCCAAGGAUAACUUCACUAAAAAGCAAUCUUUGCGGUGCAACUUGCAAAGAGAACUCUCAUCUGUUUUGUUAUAUGGGUUAUAUCACUCAUGUUCAUUUUUGGCAAGAUUCAAAUAUCAGAAAAUAGCUUCAUUCAAAAUUACAGUUGUGAAGAAUUUCCAUGUUAUACAGAGAAUUACUAAUCUCAUAGAUACUCUGUUGCAUUAGCAAAACACAAGUGCACAUUUACUGCCUUCUAGGAUCACAACCGGAGAUAGACACAUUAAAUAAAAUACUUAAAAUCGGAUAAUCUCUAUAAAAUGCUCACUUCGGCAAGAUGUUACAAAAUGCCAGUGCGUUAUAACAAAAGCGAAUGAAGCGGAUAAUUCUACUGAUGAAUUACAAAAUUCCUGCAAUUUGAUGCUCACUUCGGCAACAAAUACUUAAAAGCGGAUAAUUAACUAAAAGGUGAAGCAGAAGCAUGAACUGCUAACCGUUACUUGAUGACCUAUCUACACAAUUGAGAGAGUCUGUAUCUAGUAGAAUGGCCGUGCGUUGCCACGGGCAUUUGAAAUCUUCUACUGAAGUUGUAUAUAUAAUAUAACAUAAUGCAUCUUAAACUUCACAUACAUACCAAAGAUAGCUAGUAAAAAUCGGGUAAUAAUUGAAAUCCACUUCACUUGAAAUGUAAGUUGAUGAAAAAAAUAUAAUUUGAUGAUAUGUACAUAGAAAACCAUGACCGCACUAAUAAUUUGUUACGAAUUAAGAUUUCUACUUGAUGCGCUUAAGAUUUUCUCACACAAUAUCAACAAUGAUUUUUUCAGCUUCAUUCCCAUGAUAAUAAUCAUCCUACAUAAGCAAUAUAUGUAGUUAGCAUGAAUGUUUCACAAGGAAGGUCUAAGAAUGUGCAACGGAGAAUACUCAUCGUGCAAAUCAAAGGAAGCAAGGAGAAUGGAGAAAAUGAUGAGAGAAUAUGAAGGGAUUAAUCCAUGUCUCCUACUCUAGCUCAGCUCACAUGAGAACCACCGCGCCAAGUAGUCCGCGCUGCAACUGCAGUAGCGCCUCAAUCUACAUCCUGGAUCAAGGAGACAAACAAAAUAGAGAAGAGGAGCGGUGGUUCAUCGUGGAUCAAUUGUGUGGUUGCCGGCAACGAGAUUGAAGUUCGCCGGCGACAAGACCUAGCCAAUAGCCCGUUAGUGUUAUAUGUAGGUCACAUGUACAGGAUGUUUCACUUGAGAAAAAUGAUACAAACCGGUAGUUUUCUAGGUGACAAAAAUGGUCCAGCAUCACGACCCUAGGGCCUAUACCAUCCCAUUAGAAUUGAUAUACAUGGUUUACGCAGAGUUGGUUCAGUUUCCUUUUUCUAAUACCUUAAUCGAUAAGAAUACGAUUUCUACUCAGUAUCAACGAGAGAUACAAAUUCCAUUCUGUUGUGCUAUUAAAUAGUCUGCAAAUGGUUAUUUCAAAAAAAAAAACUGCGAACGGCUAAGCCUUUAGAUAGUUACCACGUCCAGCACUACAUCAACACUUUCAGUCAUAUUUGAGGAAAACUUUGCAUCUCAAGCACAUCAAGGAACAGUAAUUAACACACUGUAUCGCACAGAAAUAUAGCACAUCAACCACACAAGCCGGUCUUCAGUCAAAUAUUACUUCAUUCAGUUCAAAAGCAAGUCAAUAAGUAAGGGGUCAAAGAAACCAAAUCUUUUAAUUUACUUUAACAAACUAUAAGUAAAUCACCUUAUGAAGAACAAAUGAUGUGGGAGUUUACAAAGAGAAUCAUACCUGUUGCUCUUCCUUAGCCUGGGACGAAAAAGUAACAACAUGCCUUUCAACGCGACGCCAAAGUUCUCUGUCCCCGCACCCGUGACCUCCCCGGCGACCGGCAUCUGCGUUUCCAGAUUAGCGACGCAAGAUGCGGUCUCCCUGGUGACCGGCGCAACAGCAGUAGCUUGACCGCGCGGACCAUGCCUCGGUCAGGAAUGGCCUCCAAGACAACGCACUUGCAGCCCACUCGAUUUGGUACAACCGGCUUGGAAGAUCAGCAUGCACGAGUUCAUCCGGGAACUCAGCGAACCAGUGUGCCCUCCGUCAGAUGCGUCACCGCCUCCUCCGCGCCACCAACCUCCAGACCCGUCGCCACAACAGCUAGCUGCCGUACAUGACGAGGUCCAGUAGAUUGCCGCGUUCUCCAGUGCUCUCCCUUGCCUAACCCAUGGCCGCGCCUAUCCAAACCACAGCGGUAGAGAGAACGGUAGAGAAAGGGGAUUUUGGUUGUCUCCGUGAUUUGGG